CGGAGGCGAAGCGAAAGCGAGUCUGAAUAGGGCGGGAGUAACUGGUAUAGCACCCGAAGCGGAGGCGAUCUAGCCAUGGCCAGGCUGAAGCAUCGGUAACGCGAUGUGGAGGGCCGAACCCAUUAACCUUGAGAAGUUAAGGGAUGAGCUGUGGUUAGGAGUGAAAGGCUAAUCAAGCCCCGUAAUAGCUGGUUCUCUCCGAAAUAUAUUUAGGUAUAGCGUCAAAUGCUGAUUACCGGGGGUAAAGCACUGAAAAGGCUAGGGUUCACACCAGAAUACCGAACCUUAUCAAACUCUGAAUACCGGUGAGAGAAAUUUGGCAGUCAGUCAGUGGGGGAUAAGCUUCAUUGGCGAGAGGGAAACACCCCAGACCAUCGGAUAAGGUCCCUAAGAUAGUGCUAAGUGGCAAGAAGGAGGUAAGUUUUCAUAGACAAUGGGGAUGUUGGCUUAGAGGCAGCCAUCAUUUAAAAAGUGCGUAAUAGCUUACCCAUCGAGAGAAUUUGCGCCGAAAAUGAUCGGGACUCAAGCACUACACCGAAUCCGUGGAAUUAGCAAUAAUUGGUAGGAGAGCGUUCCAACGGCGUUGAAGGUCGAGCGGCGAGCGAGGCUGGAGCUUUUGGAAGUGAGAAUCUAGGCAUGAGUAACGAAAAGCAUGGUUAAAAUCCAUGCCGCCGUAAGGAUAAGGUUUCCUGGGGAAGGUUCGUCCGCCCAGGGUUAGUCGGGAGCUAAGGCGAGGCCGUAAGGAGUAGUCGAUGCACAACGGGUUAAUAAUCCCGUACCGGCUGGGCAACGUUUGAUCUUUAUAUUGACGGAUGAGUGAAUGCUGGCGAGGUGAUGAACGUCCUCGUCCAAGGCAUCGUAAGGUGUCGACGGGACUCUGAGGCUACGGCCGAGGGGGAUCAGCAAUGGCUAAUCCCGGGAAAAUUUAUAAAGUUAGUUGUCCGGUUGCCCGUACCGCAAACCGACACAGGUAUCCGGGAUGAGUAUUCUAAGGCGCGUGAGUUAAAUCUCUCCAAGGAACUCGGCAAAAUGGCCCCGUAUCUUCGGUAGAAGGGGUGCCAACGCGAGUUGGUCUCAGUAAAGAGGCCCAACCGACUGUUUAUCAAAAACACAGCUCUCUGCCAAGUCGCAAGACAACGUAUAGGGAGUGACAUGUGACCAAUGCGGAAAGGUGAAAACUGCUUGUGAAAGCUUGUGGUCUAAGCCCCCGUGAAUGUCGGCCGUAACUAUAACGGUCCUAAGGUAGCGAAAUUCCUUGUCGGGUAAGUUCCGACCUGCACGAAUCAUGUAACGAGUUGGGUGCUGUCUCAGGGAGAUGCUCAGUGAAAUUGUAGUCGCGGUUAAGAUGCCGCGUACCCGCAGAAGGACGGAAAGACCCUAUGAACCUUUACUGUAAACUGAUAUUGUCGUUUGAUUUUUAAUACGUAGAAUAGCCGGGAGGCUUAGAUUCGGCACUCCAGGGUGCCGAUGAGCCGCAAUGUGAAAUACCGGUUUUUAACUAUUAGGCGUCUAACCGCAAACCGUAAGCCGGUUGCGGGACAGUGUUAGUGGGUCAGUUUGACUGGGGCGGUCUCCUCCUAAAAAGUAACGGAGGACUGCGAAGGUUCCCUCAGACCGGAUGGUAAUCGGUCGUCGAGGAUAUGGCUAAAAGGGAGCUUAACUGUGAGACUUACAAGUCGAGCAGAUGGGAAACCAGGCCCAAGUGAUCCGGCGAUAGCUCGUGGGAGCGUCGUCGCUUAUGGGACAAAAGGUACUCUAGGGAUAACAGGCUGAUUUCGCCCAAGCGUUCAUAGCGACGGCGAAGUUUGGCACCUCGAUGUCGGCUCAUCACAUCC
This 1835-nucleotide ribosomal RNA is filed under the name gut metagenome. Its description in RNAcentral is "bacterial LSU rRNA". It matches the Rfam family "Bacterial large subunit ribosomal RNA", at positions 661 to 2547 of the family's 2925-position model. The record is from RNAcentral.